Non-coding RNA from Drosophila melanogaster (fruit fly), 549 nucleotides. NCBI's taxonomy places the organism in Eukaryota, Metazoa, Arthropoda, Insecta, Diptera, Drosophilidae. The record is from Ensembl.
AAUUGCGUUAAAAUUGAAUUUAAACACAGAAAACUCAACCGAAUGAUAACCAAAAACGGCCGCUUAUUACCGCCAAAGUGUCCAGUGUAAACGGAGCAAGUGUCGGCCGAUAAUAACGGCCCUGAAAGACUGUAAAACAAAUGUCUGGCCCGCUUCCAUUGAAUGUGUGCGAUACAAGCCACGCAUGGCGUGCGCCAGUGAAAUUGCAAACAGUUGUGAAAUGGCCAAAUGAGAUUUAAAUGGAAUCUUGGGACUUACAGGAGGAAUUGAUUGCACUGUCAUGUGAAAUCGACGGAUAUCCUUGCACAUAACCUAGAACACGCAUUUGCGAAUUUAUGUUGUUGUUGCCUGGAGUCUGCUCUGCAUUUGUUGAUACACCGAGAGAAAAUGUGCCAAUUGUCUGGCUUAGAAUCGUCAAGUGGCCUGAUAACAUUGUAUUCAAUUCUAUUGUUAUCUAUUUCCCAAAUGAAUUGUUAAUUGAGAACUUAAAGAUCAAAGUAGUUAUACUUUAAAAUAUAUUUUCAAGUAUUUAAAUUGGUAGAAAGUUAC